RNAcentral lists this ribosomal RNA (245 nucleotides) under uncultured bacterium. RNAcentral describes it as "partial 16S ribosomal RNA". It matches the Rfam family "Bacterial small subunit ribosomal RNA", at positions 524 to 768 of the family's 1533-position model. The record is from RNAcentral.
UACGGAGGGUGCAAGCGUUGUCCGGAUUUAUUGGGCGUAAAGCGCACGUAGGCGGGCUGUUAAGUCGGGUGUGAAAGUCCCUGGCUCAACUGGGGAAGGGCGCCCGAAACUGGCGGUCUGGAGUACGGGAGAGGGAGGUGGAAUUCCCAGUGUAGAGGUGAAAUUCGUAGAUAUUGGGAGGAACAUCAGUGGCGAAGGCGGCCUCCUGGACCGAUACUGACGCUGAGGUGCGAAAGCGUGGGGAG